RNAcentral lists this ribosomal RNA (208 nucleotides) under uncultured bacterium. RNAcentral's name for it is "partial 16S ribosomal RNA". It matches the Rfam family "Bacterial small subunit ribosomal RNA", at positions 524 to 728 of the family's 1533-position model. The record is from RNAcentral.
UACGAAGGGUGCAAACGUUGCUCGGAAUUAUUGGGCGUAAAGCGCACGUAGGCGGCUUUGUAAGUUGGAUGUGAAAGCCCUCGGCUCAACCAAGGAAGUGCAUCCAAAACUACAAAGCUUGAGUACUUAAGAGGAUUCGCGGAAUUCCCGGUGUAGAGGUGAAAUUCGUAGAUAUCGGGAAGGAACACCAGUGGCGAAGGGCGGCGAU